This is a long non-coding RNA of Epinephelus fuscoguttatus (brown-marbled grouper), 4382 nucleotides long. RefSeq lists it as uncharacterized. The transcript is spliced from 3 exons. The record is from RefSeq and is a predicted model, not a curated record. Lineage: Eukaryota; Metazoa; Chordata; Actinopteri; Perciformes; Serranidae.
GGCAUCAUUUCGAUCCUGGCCCUUGUCCUGGCAUGGGCAUGAUUAUAGGCCUGCUGUGCUUCCUGAGGGUCUGUAUGGUGUGAGGAGAGAAGUCUGGCAGGCAUACCCCCUGUCCCCCAGCAACACACCAGAGAAUUCACCUGUCAAUACAAAAUCUCAUCAUCACAACCUCAUAAAUAGAGUGACAUUCUUGGCAUAGCCAUGAUGUAAAAAGUGGUUAUUAAUAGAGGUUGUGUGGCUCACCUUGUGAUAGGCGCUGAAAGAUGCCAGAGGUCUGAAAGACUCAGGAAUCAUGGACUGAGCCAGGCCACUUUGCCACAACAUAUACACAACAUUUACACAAUUUCACUCACAUCUGCAGUCAAUUUCACUUACAGUUUCAACUGAUUCAUAAGCAGAGUACAACUACGUUUUCGGAGAUGUUAAUUAACUAAUUGGAUUGUAAUUGUGAUGGUUUCAGCGGAGCAGUGAGUGUGUAUUUGUAUUUGUGCGCUACUUAGGCACUCAGGCGGUCUGCAACUUUGCCACGCUUUCUCUCGUUGUUCUAUAACUGUGGCGGUGUUGCCUUUCUUUUCGAUUUGAUAGAGUACUGAUUAGUAGCACAUUCACAUUAGCACAACGUAGCACUAUCGGGAUAAAAACACAGCGUGUCUCGUGAACAGCAAAGCACCAUCGUCACUGACAUGAGUGAAUACAGCAUCUGAUGUUAUAGCAGAUGUUGCGAUGCAAGAUAACACAGUAAUGUCUGUAGUAAUAUUCUACAUAUUCCUGAAUUUGGGUGUAUUUUAAAUAAAAAUGCAAGGUUAUUGUCUAUUGACAGUCCCUGAGACCUCUGUGCUGCUCUGUCACAUUUACCAGGAAACGGCGAUGCUCAGACCUUUGGAGAGCUGGGGAUGAGAAAAGGUUGGUGGGCGAACAGGUGUCAGAUCUUUGCAGAGCACCAGUACAAACUCUCAGCGGUUUCCGUGACAUGAGAAAUACUUUCAAAACUUGUGAAGUCACCCGAUGCCACUGUUUUAACACGGAUUGGUUAUUCAAAAUCACUCCUGCCCAUAUAUUUACACGCAGCGGGGAAGGCAUGGCACAUGUAAAUAUACUAUUUGUAAGAGUUCAAGGAGUCUUUUGUGAUACCUUUUUUGCAUGUUGGUGUAGUUAUGAAGGUAAAUUUUUGAUAUACAGGGUCCCCACGGUCAUGAAAUUCCUGGAAAAGUUAUGGAAUUUGAAAAACCCAUUUUCCAGUCUUGAACAGUUAUGGAAUUAACUGACUGUUUUGAAAAAGUUUUGAAAUAUACUUCGUUUUAAAAUAUAUUGUAGUGUACAAUAUUCCUUAAAAUCCUCAAAAGAUAUCUAGCGUUACCGAAAAAGUGUAAGCUAUUAUUUAAAUCGAAUGUUGCACCAAUUAGGCUCAUGACCGGUGAAACGAAUAUGACGUGAUGUGAUACAUAGACAUAGGCUAUGUAUGUAGCUAGUUGGCUAGUUAGCAGUUGUUUUCGAUAGCAGUCGCUUCCGAAAAAAUGCCUGGAAAAUACUCCUUUAACAAUGUAUGGCUUACAAAUUUGAAAUAUAAAUCAUGGCUCAAAAGAGAGGAAGACCCUGGCGAGCUGGAUGUAAGCUCUGUGUAAAAUCAUUUGAUGUCAGCAACAUGGGGGAAGCAGUGCUCGUUAGCCAUGCCAAAGGAAAGAAACAUUUAGACAACCAAAAGGUGGCUGAACAAACCGCCAGCGUCAGAACCUUCUUCACCCCUCAGCCUGCUGCAGCCACAGCCAUGCCUUAAGCUUCACCUUCAACUAAGGCAAGCACAUCAACAUAACUGACCCUCAACCAGUAUGCUGCCUCAAACGAUGUGCUAUCGGCUGAAGUGUUAUGGACUCUAAAGUUAAUGGAUUCGCAUUAUUCGUACAGUUCAUGUGCCAACACAGGCGCAGUUUUUUGAGCCAUGUUCCCCGACAGCAAAAUAGCAUCUAAAUUUAGUUUAGGGGAAACAAAGUCUGCGUACCUCCCAACAUUUGGCAUUGCGCCCUACUUCAAAUCACUCCUGGUCAGAGAAGUGUCCAGGCAGGCUGGUUAUGUAAUGAUGAUCGACGAAAGCUUGAACAAAGCUCUGCAACUCAAACAGAUGGAUCUGCACGUACGGAUUUGGGAUGGUGGGGAGGUGAAAACCUGCUAUGUAGGCUCUGAGUUUCUUGGACACGCAACUGCCCAGGACAUUGUAGAUCGAAUGCAAACUAUGCUCUCAGAAACAGAAAUGAAGAAUCUCAUGCAGCUGUCAAUGGAUGGACCCAUUGUAAAUUGGAUGGUUUUCGAUUUACUUCAAUCUGACCUGGUCCAAAUCAACAAAUCUCUACUGAACAUGGGGUCGUGCGGACUGCACACUCUCCAUAACGCCUUCCGAGACGGAUACAAGGCAAGCGGAUGGGAGGUGGACCACACCCUCUCUAGCCUGUAUUGGCUCUUCAAAAACAGCCGCGUGCGUCGAGAAGACUUCAUAAACCUCACAGGUAAUGAAUUUUAUAUUGUAUUAUGUGCUAUUGAAUUGUAAACCUUUUGCACAAUAUCUAUACUGUAAAUAUAAUGUAUUGAUUGUUGAUGUAAUGUAGGCUAUUGAAAUUAUUAAUAAAGUCCUUUAAAACUCACGCAGGAUGCGACACACCCAUGCUGAAAUUCUGCCAGCACCGAUGGGCUGAAAAUGUGAAGGUUUGUGAGAGAGGGCUGAUGCUGUGGCCUCAUGUGAUGAACUACGUUGAUGCAGUCUCACGAUGAGAAUUACUGGAGCCAAAGAUCAAAUCUUUCCAAGAGAUCAAGAUGGCCUGUGCAGAUCCACUUUUCCGAGUGAAAACAGCAGUAUUGCAGAGCAUAUUCAAGCAGGUCACCACUUUCCUCGUCCAGUACCAGACCGACAAGCCAAUGCUACCAUUCAUGGGUGAGGAUGUGUACCAGCUGCUCAAAGGGCUCAUGGACCGUUUUAUCAAAGAAAAGACCAUGAAAGAGGCUACCUCGGUAUACAAAACUCUUCAGGUGCCUUUUGAUCAAGCUAGUGAACAGAAAGAUGCCUCCAAAGUGGAGAUUGGGUUUGCAGCAGAGGCAGCGCUCAGCAAAAUUAAAAGUCAGAAGAAGAUCUCAGAAAGACAGGUGCUUGAGAUAAAAAUGGACUGUAAAACUUUCCUCAUUGCACUCCUGCACAAGCUUGUUCACAAGACACGUGUGCAAUACCUCCUUGUUCGAAGCACGCAGUGCAUAGAUCCUAGACAAAUGGUUGCCAACAAAGGGCAGUGUGUGUAAACAAAAUGAAAAGAGUCCUGCAAACCCUUGUCAGUGCAAAUCAAGUGAGAGAAUCAGUUUGUGACGAUGUCUUGAGAGAGUACAGGGCGUUCUGUGAUUGUGCUCUGGUCACUCCAGGGUUCAGAGAAUUUGACCCCACCUCAGAUAGAGUAGAUACACUGUUUUAUGAGACCUCUAGCACUGAAUUCAAAAACCUCUGGGAGGUGGUGAAGGUGCUUCUUGUGAUGUCCCACGGACAGGCAAGUGUAGAGAGGGGGUUUUCUGUUAAUAAAGAAGUUGAGGUAGAGAAUCUGAAGGAACGGUUUUUAGUGGCAUAGAGACUUAUCACUGACCACAUUAGGGCAGUUGGAGGAGUAUGUAGAGUUCAGAUCACAAAAGAACUGCUUAUAUCAGCUGCAGGUGCAAGGCAGAAGUAUUGUGCCUACCUUGAUGAGCAAAAGAGAGAGAGAAGCAGAAAGACGCUUGCCAUGAAAAGAAAGUCUCUCAUGGAAGAAUUGGAUGAACUAAAAAAAAAAAGAAGAGAGCUAGAGUUGAGGCUGAUGCCACUGCCUUAGAGAAAGCUGCAGAUGAGUACGCGAACAAGGGAGAGACCACUAGCAAACUAACCUUUAUUGCAAUGUCUAACAGCCUGCGCCAUUUAGCCAAAGAAAAGAAAGCAAGUCUUCUUGACAUUGAAAAGCAAAUCAAUGAGAAACUAUAAGAAAUUAAGAAUGGGUAGACACAGUUUGACUGUUCAAAGCAAACUUAUGUUCAUUUUUUAACAUAUAUUUUUUUUAUGAAGCAUAGUGCAGUGUGAUAUUAGGUUUUACUCUCAAAAUAUUGUAUCGCCUAAUGCUGUGAGGCCUUGAUUGCCGUUUAUCUUGUGGUGCUCUCGUACCAGAAACCCAGACUAAUUUAUUUAUUUUACUGAUUCCUUAUUUAAAUGAGGAAGCCAUCCCUGAAGCACAGUGGCCUACUUAAGUUACACUUAAUGCACAAAUGUUUUUUUGUAAUUGUUGAAUAUCUGAUUUUCUCAGAAUAAAUAUCAUUAUUUGUUACCUUGUUAUUUGUCAAUGUUUUCACUUUUUGAGCAUUUAAAUGCUGUAGCACUUGAUUAAUUGUUG